GAGUUUGAUCGUGGCUCAGGAUGAACGCUGGCGGCGUGCCUAAUACAUGCAAGUCGAGCGAACGGACGAGAAGCUUGCUUCUCUGAUGUUAGCGGCGGACGGGUGAGUAACACGUGGAUAACCUACCUAUAAGACUGGGAUAACUUCGGGAAACCGGAGCUAAUACCGGAUAAUAUUUUGAACCGCAUGGUUCAAAAGUGAAAGACGGUCUUGCUGUCACUUAUAGAUGGAUCCGCGCUGCAUUAGCUAGUUGGUAAGGUAACGGCUUACCAAGGCAACGAUGCAUAGCCGACCUGAGAGGGUGAUCGGCCACACUGGAACUGAGACACGGUCCAGACUCCUACGGGAGGCAGCAGUAGGGAACUC
This 366-nucleotide ribosomal RNA is filed under the name uncultured microorganism. Its description in RNAcentral is "bacterial SSU rRNA". It matches the Rfam family "Bacterial small subunit ribosomal RNA", at positions 9 to 364 of the family's 1533-position model. The record is from RNAcentral.